GAUGAACGCUGGCGGCGUGCUUAACACAUGCAAGUCGAGCGGUGAAGGCGGAGCUUGCUCUGCUGGAUCAGUGGCGAACGGGUGAGUAACACGUGAGCAAUCUGCCCCUGACUCUGGGAUAAGCUCUGGAAACGGCGUCUAAUACUGGAUACGAGCUGCGAAGGCAUCUUCAGCAGCGGGAAAGAAUUUCGGUCAGGGAUGAGCUCGCGGCCUAUCAGCUUGUUGGUGAGGUAAUGGCUCACCAAGGCGUCGAUGGGUAGCCGGCCUGAGAGGGUGACCGGCCACACUGGGACUGAGACACGGCCCAGACUCCUACGGGAGGCAGCAGUGGGGAAUAUUGCACAAUGGGCGAAAGCCUGAUGCAGCAACGCCGCGUGAGGGACGACGGCCUUCGGGUUGUAAACCUCUUUUAGCAGGGAAGAAGCGAAAGUGACGGUACCUGCAGAAAAAGCGCCGGCUAACUACGUG
Molecule: ribosomal RNA, 468 nt
Filed under: uncultured bacterium
Lineage: Bacteria
Description: partial 16S ribosomal RNA
Rfam family: Bacterial small subunit ribosomal RNA
Source: RNAcentral